RNAcentral lists this ribosomal RNA (497 nucleotides) under uncultured bacterium. RNAcentral's name for it is "partial 16S ribosomal RNA". It matches the Rfam family "Bacterial small subunit ribosomal RNA", at positions 899 to 1397 of the family's 1533-position model. The record is from RNAcentral.
ACUCAAAUGAAUUGACGGGGACCUGCACAAGCGGUGGAGCAUGUGGUUUAAUUCGACGCAACGCGAAGAACCUUACCUGGGUUAAAUCAGAGUCGCAAGGCACAGAGAUGUGUCCCCCUAGCAAUAGGCGGCUUUGAAGGUGCUGCAUGGCUGUCGUCAGCUCGUGUCGUGAGAUGUUGGGUUAAGUCCCGCAACGAGCGCAACCCUUACCACUAGUUGCCAGCAUUUAGUUGGGGACUCUAGUGGAACUGCCGGUGAUAAACCGGAGGAAGGUGGGGAUGACGUCAAGUCAUCAUGGCCUUUAUGUCCAGGGCUACACACGUGCUACAAUGGACGGUACAGACCGCUGCAAACCCGCGAGGGGGAGCUAAUCGGAAAAAGCCGUUCUCAGUUCGGAUUGGAGUCUGCAACUCGACUCCAUGAAGUUGGAAUCGCUAGUAAUCGCGUAUCAGCACGACGCGGUGAAUACGUUCCCAGGUCUUGUACACACCGCCCGU